RNAcentral lists this long non-coding RNA (254 nucleotides) under Nicotiana benthamiana. RNAcentral describes it as "long non-coding RNA (NBEN_LNC001376)". The record is from RNAcentral. Lineage: Eukaryota; Viridiplantae; Streptophyta; Magnoliopsida; Solanales; Solanaceae.
UCUGGAUCUUGGUAAAGAGGAAGCUGGCCUAUACAAACUGUCUUGGGUGCCACCUUCCUCUUCUUCCUCUCCUGGUUCUUCAUUCACUUCUGUAUGUGCUUUGUCUGAUUUUUGUAAUGAUGACAAUGUGCCUGACAGCAAAAUUGUUGCUUUGCCUCCAAUUGUAAAUAAUUCCAUUUGAAUAAUGAUGCUACCACUGAUAUAAAUUACAUUUGGCAUUUAAGACUAGCACAUACUUCUUUUGCAAAUAUGAG